Molecule: ribosomal RNA, 495 nt
Filed under: uncultured bacterium
Lineage: Bacteria
Description: partial 16S ribosomal RNA
Rfam family: Bacterial small subunit ribosomal RNA
Source: RNAcentral
ACUCAAAUGAAUUGACGGGGGCCCGCACAAGCGGUGGAGCAUGUGGUUUAAUUCGACGCAACGCGAAGAACCUUACCGGGGCUUGACAUCCUACGACAUCCUAAGAGAUUAGGUUUUCUAGCAAUAGAACGUAGAGACAGGUGCUGCAUGGCUGUCGUCAGCUCGUGCCGUGAGGUGUUGGGUUAAGUCCCGCAACGAGCGCAACCCUUGUCGUGUGUUGGUAGGAAACUAUCUCUCACGCGAGACCGCCGGUGACAAGCCGGAGGAAGGUGGGGAUGACGUCAAGUCAGCAUGGCCCUUACGUCCCGGGCUACACACGUGCUACAAUGGGGAGGACAGCGAGUCGCAAACCCGCAAGGGUAAGCCAAUCUCUUAAACCUCUCCUCAGUUCGGAUUGAAGGCUGCAACUCGCCUUCAUGAAGUCGGAAUCGCUAGUAAACGCAGAUCAGCUACGCUGCGUUGAAUACGUUCCCGGGCCUUGUACACACCGCCCGU